CCCAAAGGCAUCUCUAAAACAACACCAGAGAAACUGAGUUGGUGGGCAUCUGAACAUCAAGUGAUCCACAUCUUCCUCUACUCCACACAGCUUGCAUAAGGGGCUGCCAGGCCACUUCAUUUUUUUCAGUUGUUUAGCAACUUGGAUUCUCCCCUUAAUCAUUAACCACAUAAAAUUUUUUAUUUUUAUAGGCAUCGGUGACUUCCACAAAAUCUGAAGCUGAGCAUCUUUAAUGCCCCCAAAAACCAUCUCUCUAUAUAAGGACUUUGUAGUGAACUUUCCUGACUUUUCUAGCUUCCAAAGCAUCAAAUCUCUUUCUGUCGAUAAUUGGAUAGUAGCAAGCUUUGCUUGCAGAUCUGUCCAUUCAGCCACCUCCUCUUGGGUUAAGGUCCUUCGUAGAUUAAUUUCCCAGUGCCUUCUUUAUACACUUGCUUAACCGUCAUCCCUGGAUCAGCACUGAUGCUAUAAAUGUAUGGGAACAUGAUUUUUAAAGGAACCUCCCCUAUCCAGAUGUCAUCCCAGAAUCUGAUGGCCGCCCCAUUACCUACCACAUAGGCACUGCCAAGGUUCAUCCAUCUUUUAACCUCGUGCAGACCUUUCUAAAACUGGGAGCCCCCCUCAACAGAUGAUUGAAAGAAACCUCCCCCAUUAGCUAGAUAUUUGUUUCUGAGAAGGUUGCAGCAAAGACUAUCAGUUCCAGAUUCCAACUUGUAAAUCCACUUACAAAGAAGAGCCUCAUUCAUGAUUUUGGUGUUGAGAAAACCUAGUCCUCCAUCCUCUUUGGGUCUACAAAGAGCCUCCCAUUUAAUCAUAUGGUACUUUUUCUUUCCUUCUAAACCAUCCAAAAAAAACCUCGCUCUGAUAGCAUCCAUUUUGUGGUGCACUUGGUCUGGUAAUAAGUAGAAACCCAUCAUGUACAUGGGAAUACUACUUAAACAAGAGUUGAUCAGUAUCGAUUUACCUCCAUAAGAGAGAAAACCACAUUUCCAGGUAGCCAAUCUUUUUUCAAUCUUCGCGACUGGCACUCCUAAAUCUUUUGCUGUCAGUCUCCCCUCACUAACAGGAAGGCCUAGGUAAAAAAUAGGUAACUCCCCUCUUUUGCAGUUGAAGAGAUCAGCCACACUCUCUGUGCUUCCUGUUCCUCUGCUCCAAUCACAAUUACUUCACUCUUUUGGAAAUUUAUCUUAAGUCCUGACAUAGCUUCAUAACAGUAUAAGAGAAAUUUGACAGUUAUUAUGUUCUCCUCUAUGUUUGUCAUGAAAAGUAUAGUGUCAUCUGCAUAUUGCAGGUGUGUCAGCCC
This 1300-nucleotide small RNA is filed under the name Oryza sativa Japonica Group (Japanese rice). RNAcentral's name for it is "sRNA Os06g0666183". The record is from RNAcentral. Lineage: Eukaryota; Viridiplantae; Streptophyta; Magnoliopsida; Poales; Poaceae.